Long non-coding RNA from Sitophilus oryzae (rice weevil), 567 nucleotides. RefSeq lists it as uncharacterized. The record is from RefSeq and is a predicted model, not a curated record. The transcript is spliced from 2 exons. Lineage: Eukaryota; Metazoa; Arthropoda; Insecta; Coleoptera; Curculionidae.
CUUAAGAAAAAUAACAAAUUUGCUAUGGUAUAAAUAAAAUAAGUAUAAUGACCAUUAGUCAUUUUGUAGGGAGACCUCUUUGUGAGUGUAGUCCCAUAUAUUUUAUAUACCUAUAAAAUACAACAAAAAAACCUUUUUUGAAAAAUGAAGGUAUCCUUUAUGUUGAUGUUACUUGUUAUUUUCGUUAUAUGUUUGUCAACUGAAGCAGAUCCAAAUCCGUUUUUUGAUAAACUUUUUAAUUUAGGCAGUAGUGAUGGAUAUAGCAACAGCAAUGGAUACUAUCCUUAUCCUUCAAGACCUAGGUCGUAUGGCAGAAAUUAUGAACAUGCUGAGACUGGAGCAGACAGGUAUAGAUCAAUCUGUAGAGUUCACGCUGUAGAUACAUUGGCAUUCCCUGGCAACGUUGGUAGACCAAUUUGCCCUUAAUUUUAAUAUACACAUAAGAAAAUACUUUUUAUUAUAAAAAAUAGUAAGAUAUUUAUAAAAAUGUCUCAACAUUGUUAUACUAGUCACUAAUCUUUGAUCCUUUUACUUUUGUAUUUUCCAAAUAAAACAAAUAUAAGUUUA